ACCUGAAAUGGUCUAGUAGGUUUUGGCUGUGCUCCA
Molecule: small RNA, 36 nt
Filed under: Bombyx mori (domestic silkworm)
Lineage: Eukaryota; Metazoa; Arthropoda; Insecta; Lepidoptera; Bombycidae
Description: ovarian small RNA-4413
Source: RNAcentral